RNAcentral lists this transfer RNA (68 nucleotides) under Vibrio cholerae HC-72A2. RNAcentral's name for it is "partial tRNA-Gln". It matches the Rfam family "tRNA". From Rfam's summary of the family: Transfer RNA (tRNA) molecules are approximately 80 nucleotides in length. Their secondary structure includes four short double-helical elements and three loops (D, anti-codon, and T loops). Lineage: Bacteria; Pseudomonadati; Pseudomonadota; Gammaproteobacteria; Vibrionales; Vibrionaceae. The record is from RNAcentral.
AGGUCUGUCGCCAAGCGGUAAGGCAACGGGUUUUGAUCCCGUCAUACCUAGGUUCGAAUCCUAGCAGA